CAGGAAGGUACAGGCUCAGCUGCGUGAAAGAGCUGCAGUCAAAGAAGACAAGAAGGUUGAAGCCUCCAAAGGAAAAGGUAAAGAGAGUGAAACUGUGGAUUCCCUUCUUAAGCUGCUGAGGAAACACUCAAUUGAGCAACGUAAGAAAAAAGUCAGCAGUCAAGACUUUGCUGUGGACCAUCAGGAGCAGAGCAGAUCACAGAGUAAGGAUAAAAGCACAAGUUUCCUAAAUCUAAAUGACAAAGAAAGGAGUAGAGUCCCAGAACCUAAUUCCUCUUCUUUUACCAGACCACCAUCAAAUUUCCAACGCAAAUCUCCAGUUCCUCAAGUGAAAUUCAAGCCCAUAAAUGCAAAUGAAGAUCCUGUUAAUUCUACACCUUAUUUGAAUUUAUAUGGUGAGAAAAAGAAGAAAUUUGAGGAGCUUCCUAAUACUGCCCAGCAGACAGAAAACAACAGAACUAUAAGAGAACAAAAAGGAGCAUUUCAAGAUGAAAAAACUAUCUAAAACUCAGUUCUAUUGUCUUAGCUUUCUCUCCUGAAUCAUUUAUCAGACUGAGCCACCACUUAGCAACUUCACUAACUCACCUUUCUUCAUCUUUGAAAACCCUUUUAUACCACGAGCCUUUGCAAUUGCUCUCAACCCUGGCAGCUUCAAUGAACUCAAAUCCUCGUGUUCAAUCUCCUCUCUUUUAUCACUAUACGCAUCAAUAUUAUCAAUAUCUGAAGACUCCUCUCCUGUUAACUCGUUGAAAACAUCACCUUCAGAGAAAGAGGACUCUGGCUCCUGCUCUAAUUCCAACUCAGCCUCCUCUGGCUCCAAUUCUGUCUGCUGGGCAGUAUUAGGUAGCUCCUC
Molecule: unclassified non-coding RNA, 853 nt
Filed under: Hevea brasiliensis (rubber tree)
Lineage: Eukaryota; Viridiplantae; Streptophyta; Magnoliopsida; Malpighiales; Euphorbiaceae
Source: RNAcentral